UCCGUAGGUGAACCUGCGGAAGGAUCAUUAUUGAAGGAGAAGGAAACUUCUCCAAAAAGUAUGAAACCCUUGUCUAUGAGUACUAUCGUUUCCUCGGCAGGCUUGCCUGCCAAUGGGGACCCUUAUCAAUCUUUUAAUAAUGUUGUAACCGUAACCAAACAAAUAAUCAAAACUUUCAACAACGGAUCUCUUGGUUCUGGCAUCGAUGAAGAACGCAGCGAAAUGCGAUAAGUAAUGUGAAUUGCAGAAUUCAGUGAAUCAUCGAAUCUUUGAACGCACAUUGCGCCCCUUGGUAUUCCGAGGGGCAUGCCUGUUCGAGCGUCAUUAUAACCCUCAAGCUCAGCUUGGUGUUGGGGCCUGCUGCACUGGCAGCCCUUAAAAUCAGUGGCGGUGCCAUUUGGCUUCAAGCGUAGUAAUUCUUCUCGCUUUGGAGAUCCAGGUGGUUACUUGCCAAUAACCCCCAAUUUUUUCAGGUUGACCUCGGAUCAGGUAGGGAUACCCGCUGAACUUAA
Molecule: ribosomal RNA, 512 nt
Filed under: uncultured fungus
Lineage: Eukaryota; Fungi
Description: eukaryotic LSU rRNA
Rfam family: 5.8S ribosomal RNA (bases 171-324)
Source: RNAcentral